CAAAAGGUCCUUUUAAGGACCACCCACUUUCUCAGAAAAGGCUGU
Regulatory RNA element from Anolis carolinensis (green anole), 45 nucleotides. It matches the Rfam family "Histone 3' UTR stem-loop". From Rfam's summary of the family: The mRNAs of metazoan histone genes lack a poly-A tail. 3' end processing occurs at a site between a highly conserved stem-loop (modelled by this family) and a purine rich region around 20 nts downstream (the histone downstream element, or HDE). The stem-loop is bound by a 31 kDa stem-loop binding protein (SLBP - also termed the histone hairpin binding protein, or HBP). Lineage: Eukaryota; Metazoa; Chordata; Lepidosauria; Squamata; Anolidae. The record is from Rfam.